AGUGAACGCUGGCGGUAGGCCUAACACAUGCAAGUCGAACGGCAGCACAGUAAGAGCUUGCUCUUACGGGUGGCGAGUGGCGGACGGGUGAGGAAUACAUCGGAAUCUACUUUUUCGUGGGGGAUAACGCAGGGAAACUUACGCUAAUACCGCAUACGACCUACGGGUGAAAGCAGGGGAUCUUCGGACCUUGCGCGAUUGAAUGAGCCGAUGUCGGAUUAGCUAGUUGGCGGGGUAAAGGCCCACCAAGGCGACGAUCCGUAGCUGGCCUGAGAGGAUGAUCAGCCACACUGGAACUGAGACACGGUCCAGACUCCUACGGGAGGCAGCAGUGGGGAAUAUUGGACAAUGGGCGCAAGCCUGAUCCAGCCAUACCGCGUGGGUGAAGAAGGCCUUCGGGUUGUAAAGCCCUUUUGUUGGGAAAGAAAAGCAGCAGGUUAAUACCCCGCUGUUCUGACGGUACCCAAAGAAUAAGCACCGGCUAACUUCGUG
RNAcentral lists this ribosomal RNA (492 nucleotides) under uncultured bacterium. Its description in RNAcentral is "partial 16S ribosomal RNA". It matches the Rfam family "Bacterial small subunit ribosomal RNA", at positions 29 to 507 of the family's 1533-position model. The record is from RNAcentral.